This 429-nucleotide ribosomal RNA is filed under the name Acidobacteriota bacterium. RNAcentral describes it as "Acidobacteria bacterium partial 16S ribosomal RNA". It matches the Rfam family "Bacterial small subunit ribosomal RNA", at positions 355 to 776 of the family's 1533-position model. The record is from RNAcentral. Lineage: Bacteria; Pseudomonadati; Acidobacteriota.
UGGGGAAUUUUGGACAAUGGGGGAAACCCUGAUCCAGCCAUCCCGCGUGUGCGAUGAAGGCCUUCGGGUUGUAAAGCACUUUUGGCAGGAAAGAAACGUCAUGGGUUAAUACCCCGUGAAACUGACGGUACCUGCAGAAUAAGCACCGGCUAACUACGUGCCAGCAGCCGCGGUAAUACGUAGGGUGCAAGCGUUAAUCGGAAUUACUGGGCGUAAAGCGUGCGCAGGCGGUUCGGAAAGAAAGAUGUGAAAUCCCAGAGCUCAACUUUGGAACUGCAUUUUUAACUACCGGGCCAGGGUGUGUCAGAGGGAGGUGGCAUUCCGCGUGUAGCAGUGAAAUGCGGAGAUAUGCGGAGCAACACCGAUGGCGAAGGCAGCCUCCUGGGAUAACACUGACGCUCAUGCACGAAAGCGUGGGGAGCAAACAGG